This 628-nucleotide ribosomal RNA is filed under the name uncultured bacterium. Its description in RNAcentral is "bacterial SSU rRNA". The stretch from base 1 to 542 matches the Rfam family "Bacterial small subunit ribosomal RNA", at positions 338 to 873 of the family's 1533-position model. The record is from RNAcentral.
CCUACGGGAGGCAGCAGUGGGGAAUUUUGGACAAUGGGGGCAACCCUGAUCCAGCAAUGCCGCGUGAGUGAAGAAGGCCUUCGGGUUGUAAAGCUCUUUUGUCAGGGAAGAAACGGUGAGUUCUAAUACAACUUGCUAAUGACGGUACCUGAAGAAUAAGCACCGGCUAACUACGUGCCAGCAGCCGCGGUAAUACGUAGGGUGCAAGCGUUAAUCGGAAUUACUGGGCGUAAAGCGUGCGCAGGCGGUUAUAUAAGACAGAGGUGAAAUCCCCGGGCUCAACCUGGGAACUGCCUUUGUGACUGUAUGGCUAGAGUGUGUCAGAGGGGGGUAGAAUUCCACGUGUAGCAGUGAAAUGCGUAGAUAUGUGGAGGAAUACCGAUGGCGAAGGCAGCCCCCUGGGAUAACACUGACGCUCAUGCACGAAAGCGUGGGGAGCAAACAGGAUUAGAUACCCUGGUAGUCCACGCCCUAAACGAUGUCUACUAGUUGUCGGGACUUAAUUGUCUUGGUAACGCAGCUAACGCGUGAAGUAGACCGCCUGGGGGAGGUACGGUCGCGAGAGUAAACGUUAAAGUAAGUAGUAGACGUGUAGAGACGCGACGACGACGACGACGGAGGGAGGAGG